ACUUUCAACAACGGAUCUCUUGGUUCUGGCAUCGAUGAAGAACGCAGCGAUAUGCGAUAAGUAGUGUGAAUUGCAGAAUUCAGUGAAUCAUCGAAUCUUUGAACGCACAUUGCGCCCCUUGGUAUUCCAUGGGGCAUGCCUGUUCGAGCGUCA
RNAcentral lists this ribosomal RNA (153 nucleotides) under Ampelomyces sp. HMLAC209. RNAcentral describes it as "5.8S ribosomal RNA". It matches the Rfam family "5.8S ribosomal RNA". From Rfam's summary of the family: 5.8S ribosomal RNA (5.8S rRNA) is a component of the large subunit of the eukaryotic ribosome. It is transcribed by RNA polymerase I as part of the 45S precursor that also contains 18S and 28S rRNA. The record is from RNAcentral. Lineage: Eukaryota; Fungi; Ascomycota; Dothideomycetes; Pleosporales; Phaeosphaeriaceae.